CGACCCCUAAGGCGAGGCCGAAAGGCGUAGUCGAUGGGAAACAGGUUAAUAUUCCUGUACUUGGUGUUACUGCGAAGGGGGGACGGAGAAGGCUAUGUUGGCCGGGCGACGGUUGUCCCGGUUUAAGCGUGUAGGCUGGUUUUCCAGGCAAAUCCGGAAAAUCAAGGCUGAGGCGUGAUGACGAGGCACUACGGUGCUGAAGCAACAAAUGCCCUGCUUCCAGGAAAAGCCUCUAAGCAUCAGGUAACAUCAAAUCGUACCCCAAACCGACACAGGUGGUCAGGUAGAGAAUACCAAGGCGCUUGAGAGAACUCGGGUGAAGGAACUAGGCAAAAUGGUGCCGUAACUUCGGGAGAAGGCACGCUGAUAUGUAGGUGAAGUCCCUCGCGGAUGGAGCUGAAAUCAGUCGAAGAUACCAGCUGGCUGCAACUGUUUAUUAAAAACACAGCACUGUGCAAACACGAAAGUGGACGUAUACGGUGUGACGCCUGCCCGGUGCCGGAAGGUUAAUUGAUGGGGUCAGCGCAAGCGAAGCUCUUGAUCGAAGCCCCGGUAAACGGCGGCCGUAACUAUAACGGUCCUAAGGUAGCGAAAUUCCUUGUCGGGUAAGUUCCGACCUGCACGAAUGGCGUAAUGAUGGCCAGGCUGUCUCCACCCGAGACUCAGUGAAAUUGAACUCGCUGUGAAGAUGCAGUGUACCCGCGGCAAGACGGAAAGACCCCGUGAACCUUUACUAUAGCUUGACACUGAACAUUGAGCCUUGAUGUGUAGGAUAGGUGGGAGGCUUUGAAGUGUGGACGCCAGUCUGCAUGGAGCCGACCUUGAAAUACCACCCUUUAAUGUUUGAUGUUCUAACGUGGACCCGUGAUCCGGGUUGCGGACAGUGUCUGGUGGGUAGUUUGACUGGGGCGGUCUCCUCCUAAAGAGUAACGGAGGAGCACGAAGGUUGGCUAAUCCUGGUCGGACAUCAGGAGGUUAGUGCAAUGGCAUAAGCCAGCUUGACUGCGAGCGUGACGGCGCGAGCAGGUGCGAAAGCAGGUCAUAGUGAUCCGGUGGUUCUGAAUGGAAGGGCCAUCGCUCAACGGAUAAAAGGUACUCCGGGGAUAACAGGCUGAUACCGCCCAAGAGUUCAUAUCGACGGCGGUGUUUGGCACCUCGAUGUCGGCUCAUCACAUCCUGGGGCUGAAGUAGGUCCCAAGGGUAUGGCUGUUCGCCAUUUAAAGUGGUACGCGAGCUGGGUUUAGAACGUCGUGAGACAGUUCGGUCCCUAUCUGCCGUGGGCGCUGGAGAACUGAGGGGGGCUGCUCCUAGUACGAGAGGACCGGAGUGGACGCAUCACUGGUGUUCGGGUUGUCAUGCCAAUGGCACUGCCCGGUAGCUAAAUGCGGAAGAGAUAAGUGCUGAAAGCAUCUAAGCACGAAACUUGCCCCGAGAUGAGUUCUCCCUGACCCUUUAAGGGUCCUGAAGGAACGUU
This 1474-nucleotide ribosomal RNA is filed under the name Escherichia coli. Its description in RNAcentral is "partial 23S ribosomal RNA". It matches the Rfam family "Bacterial large subunit ribosomal RNA", at positions 1385 to 2839 of the family's 2925-position model. The record is from RNAcentral. Lineage: Bacteria; Pseudomonadati; Pseudomonadota; Gammaproteobacteria; Enterobacterales; Enterobacteriaceae.